This is a non-coding RNA of Oncorhynchus mykiss (rainbow trout), 1407 nucleotides long. NCBI's taxonomy places the organism in Eukaryota, Metazoa, Chordata, Actinopteri, Salmoniformes, Salmonidae. The record is from RefSeq and is a predicted model, not a curated record.
AGGGGGAGAAAAGGUAACCUAACAACGACCAGCAGAGGGAGACAGGGUGAAGGGAAAGGACAGAGACAAGACACAACAUGACAGUACAUGACAGAAAGGGUGAGAAAUAACUUAAGUUUCUCAUUUGGUGUAACAUACUACACUGCAUUUUUCUCAAUAAAAAGGACCAUAUUUUUGUCACUGUGAUCCCUGUUCCCCAUGUAUUGUAGACAUGGUGGUCCGUUCUCGGCGAGACUACAGGACACCUGGCCCUCAUUACGCUCUGGGACAGAACAAGAGGAGACCCUGAGGGCCAUACCAUAUUCUAAUGUUUCAUCUAUUGGUGUGUUAGAGAGCGCCCACGGAUCAGGCUAUCCACAUUGGAUCUGUCCAAGAUGGCCUUCCUUCCAGAUGGAUCCUCAGGGAGAGAGUACUUGCGCUUCCUUGAGGACAAUAGGGUGACCCCUGACUCAAGGGCAGAUGUGAAGUUUGUGGAUAAUGAAGAGUUGGCGUAUGUUAUGCAGAGAUACAGAGAGGUCCACGAUUUACUGCACAGCUUACUGGGCUUGCCCACUAACAUGCUAGUUGUCUGGAAUCCCUGGUGACAGGGACGUGGGCUGUGAGGAAUGGCCGACAGGCUCACUGUGUCCUCAGCAUCUUCUACGAGCGAUGCUGGGAGCAGAGUCUGUAGGACCUAAGACUGGAACUGAACAUCGAGCCCCCCCUGCUGACCGUCACAGCUUCUAGCCAGAGACCACAUCAGACCCAUAGCACUGACCUCUGAUGUCACACUGUGUCUGGUCACACUGUGCAACCAGAUGGUAGAGGAUGCAGGAACUCUUUGGAGUGAUGUAAUGUUGGAAUUUUGUGGGCUGAAUGUAUUAUGGCAAUUGUGUCAAGCUUCCCUGUGUUUCAAAGUGAAUAAUGGUGAAGGAAGGAAAGGCCUAUAUUCAAAAUGGGGGCAGGGGAUUUCCAGAGGCAUUACCAGAGAGAGAUUGUUACCCCCUUACCAAGGUUGAGAUCAUUUCCCCUUGACAAUGGUUAAGUACAUUAUGACCUGACAUUGAGUAGAAGGGACAUUUUUGGAACAAAACCUUGUUGAGGGUCUUGUAUUACCUACGGCCAUUCUUCAAGCGACAAGUCAUUACCUAGGUUGGACAAACCAAGGACAUGCAAGAGCCUGUUGCUGCUGGUUACACCAGUGGUGGCUUAGUCAUGUCUGGUAUCAUUCAGACGCUGAGACUGGUUCUAUCUGACAUUUCCUUCUCUUAUAACUCAAGGUACAUCACCCACCUGGUACUGUAAUGACUGUCAAUCAUUGACUGAGUUUUAUUUGACAAUGUGUGUGUUCAUGACAAGCACAGCACUGUUCAUGUAUCUCUGGUGUGAGAUGUCACUUAUCAAUAAAUUGUUUGUACUUUGUUGAAA